RNAcentral lists this long non-coding RNA (1680 nucleotides) under Homo sapiens (human). Its description in RNAcentral is "non-protein coding lnc-FAM182B-9:1". Lineage: Eukaryota; Metazoa; Chordata; Mammalia; Primates; Hominidae. The record is from RNAcentral.
CAGAAGGUUUCCAAUUGACUUUGCCCAGAUCCAUCAAAGGAAUCAUGACCUAUGGCAGUAACAGCCUUAUAAAAUAUAUUUCUCAAAUAAUAAGACUAGAAAGUCAAAAUGAUGCCUCAGUCCAUGGACUACAGAAUAGAUGCCCGUAUGCCUCCGGUGACACACAUUCACACCAUCUGCUGUGGGAUACGCCAGUGCCACGCGUGGUCACAUGGUCUGCACCUGGCAUUCGCCACUGUUCCUGUUUGCACGAGCCCUGUAAAGCGCGGUCGGCUUUCCGGAGCCCCAGGGCUUUUAGAAGAGGGGUAGGCCACUGCUCUUUCAAAGGAGGAGGGAGGCAGAGGGUUGAAGGAUCAGUGAAUUUGCAGCUGACACUAGGCCUCGAGACAUUUUCCCUACUUUUUGCAAAGACCUCAAUCCUAAGGCUAAAAUAUGCAUUACCUAAUCUCAUAAUUCUAUCUCGUUUUUUAAAAUUUUAGAUUCAGGGGUACCUGUGCAGGUUUUUUAUAUGGGUAUAUUUUCUGAUGCUGAGGUUUGGGCUUCUAAUGAUCUGUUGCCCAAGUAGCAAACAUAGUACCCAAUAAGUAAUCUCCCAACCCUUGUUCCCCAUCCUUCCUCCCCUAAUUUAGAGUGUCCCAUGUCUACUCUUCCCAUCUUUGUGUCCAUGUGUACCCAACAACAUCAUAUCUAAUAUGGGAAAGUUGAAAGCAUUUCCUGUAAGAACUAGAACAAUACAAGGAUGCCGACUUUCACUAUUCUUAUUCAACACAGUACUGGAAUUUCUUGCCAGAGCAAUCAGGCAGAAGAAAGAAAUAAAAUGCAUCCAAAUUGGAAAAGAGGAAGUCAAGUUACCCCUGUUUGCUGAUGAUAUAAUAUUAUUCCUGAAGAACCCUAAAGAUGCUGCCCAAAAUUCUUAAAUUUGACAAAGGAAGCAGUGAGCGUCAGGAUACAAAAUUAAUGUACAAAUAUCAGUAGUGUUUAUAUACACAAAUAAUGAGCCAGCCAAAGGCCAAAUCAAGAAAACAAUCCCAUUUACAAUAGCUACAAAAAAAUACCGAGGAAUAUCUUUGACCUAGAAGCUGAAAGACUUCUAGAAGGAGAACUACAAAACACUGAUGAAAAAAAUCCUAGAUGACAUAAACAAAUGAAAAACCCCCACGCUUAUAAAUUAGAAUAUGCAAUAUCAUUAAAAUGACCAUACUGUUCAAGGCAAACUACAGAUUCAACACAAUCCCUAUCAAAUUACCAAUGUUAUUUUUCACAGAAUUAGAAAAAAAAAUCCUAAAAUUAAUAUGGAACCAAAAAAAGGGCCUGAACAGCCAAAGCAAUUCUAAGGAAGAAGAACAAAGCUGGAGGCAUCACAUUACCUGUUUUCAAAUUAUACUACAAAACUAUAGAAACCAAAACAGCAUUGUACUGGCAUAACAUAGACACAUAGAUCAAUGGAGCAGAAUAGACAACUCAGAAAUAAAGCCCCAUACCUACAACCAACUUAUCUUUUAAAAAGUCAACAAAAAUAUAUUCUGGGGAAAUGACACCCUAUAAAUAAGUGGUGCCAGUAAAAUUGGAUAAACACAUAUGGGAUAAUAAAACUGGACCCAUACCUCUCAAAAUAUACAAAAAUAAACUCAAUAUGGAUCAAAGACCAAAGUGUAAGACCUGAAACCACAGAAAUCCUAG